Molecule: ribosomal RNA, 503 nt
Filed under: uncultured bacterium
Lineage: Bacteria
Description: partial 16S ribosomal RNA
Rfam family: Bacterial small subunit ribosomal RNA
Source: RNAcentral
AUUGAACGCUGGCGGCAGGCUUAACACAUGCAAGUCGAGCGGGGUGAUGGUGCUUGCACUAUCACUUAGCGGCGGACGGGUGAGUAAUGCUUAGGAAUCUGCCUAUUAGUGGGGGACAACACGGCGAAAGGGAGUCUAAUACCGCAUCAGUCCUCCGGGAGAAAGCAGGGGAUCACUUGUGACCUUGCGCCCAUAGAUGAGCAUAAGUCGGAUUAGCUAGUUGGUGGGGUAAAGGCCUACGACGGCGACGAUCUGUAGCGGGUCUGAGAGGAUGAUCCGCCACACUGGGACUGAGACACGGCCCAGACUCCUACGGGAGGCAGCAGUGGGGAAUAUUGGACAAUGGGGGGAACCCUGAUCCAGCCAUGCCGCGUGUGUGAAGAAGGCCUUAUGGUUGUAAGGCACUUUAAGCGAGGAGGAGGCUCUUUUGGUUAAUACCCAAGAUGAGUGGACGUUACUCGCAGAAUAAGCACCGGCUAACUCUGUGCCAGCAGCCGCCGUAA